This is a ribosomal RNA of Humulus lupulus (European hop), 156 nucleotides long. RefSeq annotates it as 5.8S ribosomal RNA. The transcript has a single exon. The record is from RefSeq and is a predicted model, not a curated record. Lineage: Eukaryota; Viridiplantae; Streptophyta; Magnoliopsida; Rosales; Cannabaceae.
AACUCUUGGCAAUGGAUAUCUCGGCUCUCGCAUCGAUGAAGAACUUAGCAAAAUGCGAUACUUGGUAUGAAAUGCAGAAUCUCGUGAACCAUCGUGUCUUCGAACGCAAUUUGCGCUCGAAGCCACUGGGCUGAGGGAAUGUCUGCCUGGGCAUCA